Xenia sp. Carnegie-2017 is the source of this 265-nucleotide long non-coding RNA. RefSeq lists it as uncharacterized. Lineage: Eukaryota; Metazoa; Cnidaria; Anthozoa; Malacalcyonacea; Xeniidae. The record is from RefSeq and is a predicted model, not a curated record. The transcript is spliced from 2 exons.
UCAUUGUCAAAAAGUAAAUAACUGAAAUCGAUCCUAGUUGCUUGUGGUUUCUAGUUUCAUUCACUGUCAAUAUUUAAUUGUCUUUGAAAUACGUAUGACAAAAGAAAUACUCUCGAGAAAAUGAUGGAAUAGUCAGAAGUAUUUGAUCCAUCGAAUAAUUUUCUUUAUUCUUACACAGGUCUGAAGAUGGACAUACAUGGCUAUGUUAAUUAUGCAUAUGCUAAUAUAAACAUUUUUUUUUAAUCAUUACGUGUUGCUAAAAUUA